RNAcentral lists this ribosomal RNA (484 nucleotides) under uncultured bacterium. Its description in RNAcentral is "partial 16S ribosomal RNA". It matches the Rfam family "Bacterial small subunit ribosomal RNA", at positions 30 to 507 of the family's 1533-position model. The record is from RNAcentral.
AUUGAACGCUGGCGGCAGGCCUAACACAUGCAAGUCGAGCGGAUGAAGGGAGCUGGCUCCUGGAUUCAGCGGCGGACGGGUGAGUAAUGCCUAGGAAUCUGCCUGGUAGGGGGGGAUAACGUCCGGAAACGGGCGCUAAUACCGCAUACGUCCUGAGUGAGAAAGUGGGGGAUCUUCGGACCUCACGCUAUCAGAUGAGCCUAGGUCGGAUUAGCUAGUUGGUGGGGUAAAGGCCUACCAAGGCGACGAUCCGUAACUGGUCUGAGAGGAUGAUCAGUCACACUGGAACUGAGACACGGUCCAGACUCCUACGGGAGGCAGCAGUGGGGAAUAUUGGACAAUGGGCGAAAGCCUGAUCCAGCCAUGCCGCGUGUGUGAAGAAGGUCUUCGGAUUGUAAAGCACUUUAAGUUGGGAGGAAGGGCAGUAAGUUAAUACCUUGCUGUUUUGACGUUACCAAAAGAAUAAGCACCGGCUAACUUCGUG